UGGGUUGGCGGGCUCUGUGCUACGGCAUCGAACCGUCCGCGCACACUUCGUUUCAAUGAUGUAGCAAGAGCCAACUUGUCCUUUUAGCAGAUUCCUGUGUAUGCUACCUACUAUAAAGGUAUGAUGCCUCUCGUUGACCCUUUCCUUCCUCGACACUUGUGUUCAGGGGGAGGACGGCAUAGCAGCACCUUUGUCCUGCAUCGUGCGUGCCUAUUGGCGCGCACCUUGCGACGGUUUACGGGUUGCUGCUUGAUGUCUCGGAUAUGGAAUAUUUGGUGGGCUUGUGGUCUUUGUACACUCGAUGUCCAAAAUUCGAAGCGUUUUGUCGCUAGGCAUGCACGAUUGCCAUGCUCGUUGCGGGAUCUCUCGCGCGGUGCUUGGUGUCGGCAAAGGAAUGCUACCUGGUU
RNAcentral lists this unclassified non-coding RNA (407 nucleotides) under Comarum palustre. RNAcentral's name for it is "partial external transcribed spacer". The record is from RNAcentral. Lineage: Eukaryota; Viridiplantae; Streptophyta; Magnoliopsida; Rosales; Rosaceae.